Molecule: small nuclear RNA, 274 nt
Filed under: Heterocephalus glaber (naked mole-rat)
Lineage: Eukaryota; Metazoa; Chordata; Mammalia; Rodentia; Bathyergidae
Description: 7SK RNA
Rfam family: 7SK RNA
About the family: 7SK was discovered as an abundant small nuclear RNA in the mid-70s but a possible function has only recently been suggested. Two independent studies have found that 7SK RNA binds the CDK9/cyclin T complex (known as elongation factor P-TEFb). P-TEFb activates transcription by phosphorylating the C-terminal domain of RNA polymerase II.
Source: Rfam by way of RNAcentral
GAAUGUGAGGGUGAUCUGGCUGCCACAUCUGUCGUUGAUCACCAGAGUGGAUUUGGCUGAUCUGGCUGGCCAGGUGAGUGUCCCCUUCCUCCCUCACUGCCCCAUGUGCAUCCUGAAGCUGUGCGCUCGGUCAAAGAGGACGACCACCCUCAAUAGAGGAGGACCAUUUCCUCAGUCAAGGGUGUACACUCCCCUGCCAGAACCUCCAAACAAGCUCUUAAGUACAGAUAAUAUUCAAAAGUUUAUAGAUACUUGAAAAGUAAAGGUAGUUUUU